UGUGUGUGUGUGUGUGUGUGUGUGUGUAUGUAUGCGGGGUGUGUGUGUGUAUACAUUUACACACACACACACACACACACG
RNAcentral lists this microRNA precursor (81 nucleotides) under Podarcis lilfordi (Lilford's wall lizard). Lineage: Eukaryota; Metazoa; Chordata; Lepidosauria; Squamata; Lacertidae. The record is from RNAcentral.